Malus domestica (apple) is the source of this 1348-nucleotide non-coding RNA. Lineage: Eukaryota; Viridiplantae; Streptophyta; Magnoliopsida; Rosales; Rosaceae. The record is from RefSeq and is a predicted model, not a curated record.
ACAAAUAUUAUUUUGUGGUGGAGAAUUGGCGGUGUGUGUUGUCAGCUACUUCUGGUUUUUGGGCAGCUGCAGCGGGUUAUCUCUCACCUAAGCUUUUUUUUUUAUGAGUUGAAGUAUUGUUUUGGUACUGAGAUGUUUUUUAAAAAAAAUGGGUAUAAAAAAAAUGGGAGAGUUUAUCGUGUUUGGUAAACACUCCAAACCAGCUUUAUUUUAAAGUUUUGGAUGAAAAAAAAAAACCUUCAAAGAACCAGCUUAUUUUGAAAAACAAGGGUGAAGAGUAAAUUCAUUAAUGAAUUUUUCAAUUUGCCAACAUUGCUCUCCUUUCUCUUGCCUUCCUCACACUUUCAGCAUGCCUUCUCGCAAAACCCUUGCAAAACCAAAAAACUUCAAUCCCAGCUCAAGCAGGAACCUCCUGCCACGUAAAACUCCUACACUAUUUGAUUCCAACCAUUUUCGAACCCCGACUUACCCUCUUGACCCAAUCUCCCCCCAAUCUCAUUCAGAAUCCAAUUUGCUACACUAGAUCUGAAAGAAGCCAUCCUUCAUCCCAGGGAUCUCUCUCAUUCUCCGGGUCGCGUUCUCCGGCUCAGCGUCCUUCCUCUGGGUUUAGGUAUAUAAGAAAGGAUAAAGUUCUACUCUGUUUCUGAUCUGUGAACUCUACUUCUGAUUUGUCAUGCGCCGUUCUCUCGUCUCUUGCGAUUCAGCACACCCUCUAGGACGCUGUUUCAUCGUCUUCUUCAAGCUCUCGCAAUCUCUUUUGAAACUUCAACCUCUAGGUCAGUGCUCGUAUCUUAUCUCUCUCACUCCAUCUGCUAUCGUGUUUUAUAUAUUUUUUUUUCUUCUGAAUUCUUCAUUUAUGUUAUUCUUUUAAUUACUACUAGGUUUCAGUUUUUGGUUCACAACUUUUGGUUUAGGCUGGUUAAUAUCUUCUUUUUUUUUCCUUCUUUUCAUGAUUUCUGCUAAUUUUAUUUGUCUAAUUUUUGUUUAUUUGUAGAAAAAUAUGGUUAGAUUUGGUUCCUUUAAUCGAUUUGGUUAGAUUUGGUUACUUUAAUCGAUUUGGUUCCUUAUGAACAUAUAUUUCCUGAUAUUUAUGUGUUUGGUGUCUUUUAUUGUCUCACAAUCAAGACUGUCAUCCAAAAAUGAUGCAGAGUACUGUCUGUGCCUAUAUCAUUUACUACAAUUAUGUAUUCUAUCUGUGUCUACUAGCUAGGCAUACUAAAAUGUUUAGACUUUAGUGUAACAGACCUACGUACCCUCUUUUGCGGUGCAAAUGGCUUUAAUGUUAAACUUCUUGAGACUUUCUGCUAGUAUGAUUGUCUAUGGUUUAAGCCUGGGAGAUCCACGCAUA